GAUGAACGCUAGCGGCAGGCUUAACACAUGCAAGUCGAGGGGUAACAUGAGUGCUUGCACUUGAUGACGACCGGCGAACGGGUGCGUAACGCGUAUAGAAUCUGCCUUGUACAGGAGGAUAGCCCAGAGAAAUUUGGAUUAAUACUCCAUAAUGUUAUUUGAUGGCAUCAUUAAGUAAUUAAAGAUUUAUUGGUACAAGAUGACUAUGCGUCCUAUUAGCUAGAUGGUAAGGUAACGGCUUACCAUGGCAACGAUAGGUAGGGGGUCUGAGAGGAUUAUCCCCCACACUGGUACUGAGACACGGACCAGACUCCUACGGGAGGCAGCAGUGAGGAAUAUUGGACAAUGGGCGAGAGCCUGAUCCAGCCAUGCCGCGUGCAGGAAGACUGCCCUAUGGGUUGUAAACUGCUUUUAUACAGGAAGAAACCUACUUACGUGUAAGUAGCUGACGGUACUGUAAGAAUAAGCACCGGCUAACUCCGUGCCAGCAGCCGCGGUAAUACGGAGGGUGCAAGCGUUAUCCGGAAUCAUUGGGUUUAAAGGGUCCGCAGGCGGUCAAUUAAGUCAGAGGUGAAAUCUCACAGCUUAACUGUGAAACUGCCUUUGAUACUGGUUGACUUGAGUCAUAUGGAAGUAGAUAGAAUAAGUAGUGUAGCGGUGAAAUGCAUAGAUAUUACUUAGAAUACCGAUUGCGAAGGCAGUCUACUACGUAUGUACUGACGCUCAUGGACGAAAGCGUGGGGAGCGAACAGG
RNAcentral lists this ribosomal RNA (753 nucleotides) under uncultured bacterium. RNAcentral describes it as "bacterial SSU rRNA". It matches the Rfam family "Bacterial small subunit ribosomal RNA", at positions 28 to 776 of the family's 1533-position model. The record is from RNAcentral.